This 1715-nucleotide long non-coding RNA is filed under the name Homo sapiens (human). RNAcentral's name for it is "ZNF528 antisense RNA 1". Lineage: Eukaryota; Metazoa; Chordata; Mammalia; Primates; Hominidae. The record is from RNAcentral.
GACUGGCUGCGCUUGUUUUCAGGGUUUUGGUCUGAAAACGGAUCUUACCUGCGCAGAGCAAAAUCGGUUGUAGAUUAUAUCCACGAAAAUUCCUUCUAUUAAAAUGAAUUUCAAGUCCCACCUACCCUGGAAGCAGAAAGAGAGAGAAGAGAGAGAGUAAAGAGAAAGAGAAAAGAAAGAGAAGUUGAAAAAGAGAAAGAAAACCAAGAAAGAAAGAGAAAAAAACCGAAAAUAAAUGGACAAGAAAGAAAAACGGUGAAGGUCAACCCUGUGCUCAAUUCCAGAGACUUUCCUAGGGACAUCGUGUUGGGCAUGGAGGACUAAGGCCAGUGUGAAGAUAAGUCACCGAUUCUUUAAAAAAAAAAAGCCAGUAACUUAUAAAAAUAGCCAUAAACGACGUAGUUUUUUGUUGUUGUUGUUGUUUUGAGACAGCGUCUCCCUCUGUCCCCCAGGCGGGAGUACAGUGGCAGGCACUCAGCUCACUGUAACCUCCGCCUCCUGGGUUCAAGUGAUUCUCUUGCCCCAGCCUCCAGAGUAGCCACCACGCCCGGUCCAACUUAGUUUUUUAAUACUUUUUAAAAUUUUAAGACAGGGUCUCUGCCACCGAGGCUGAAAUGCAGUGGCGCAAUCAUAGCUCACUGCAACCUUGACUUCCUGGGGUCCUGGGCAGGUGACCCCCUGUCUCAGCCUGCCGAGUAGCUGUGAGUAAAGGCCUGUGCCUCUCCACUGUGCUAAUUUUCUACUGUUUGUUGCUUUGUUUUUAAUAGAGAUGUAGUCUGGUUUUGUUGCCCAGGCUGGUCUCCAGCUUCUAGCCUCAAGCAGUCUUCCCAUCUGCUCCUACCAAAGUGCUCGGAUUAUAGGCAUGAAUCACCUUGCAUGGGAGAUAAGGACCCCCACAUCAAGCCCUCAGGUCACUGGGAUCCUGGACUACGGCACUGCUCCAGGCAGGCCUGGUUAUCCUGCUUGAGGCAGCAAUCCUCUUGAGCCUAGUGAAAUGCAACUGGCUGUACCUCAAUGAUGUUGCCCUGAGAUUCUGCCAGUCGAGGUAUUACUUCAAUCUCCUGAGACCAGCCUCUACCUCCAGAUCCAGGGAGGCCAACGUGCCAUGCAUCCCUGGAGCAUGAAACCCAGGAUGGGCCGCCUUCCAGCCUCCCACAGCUGUGAUGCAAGUUGAACACAUACAGAGAGACUGCAUCUGCACUGGGUGGUUUUCCUGAGCCUUGGGGAGCAGAAUGCAUGAAUCCCAGGCUCAUAAACAGAAGAGACUUGCUUGUCUCAGAUGAAACUUUGGACUGUGGACUUUUGAGUUAAUGCUGAAAUAAGACUUUGGGGGACUGUUGGGGAGGCAUGAUUGGUUUUGAAAUGUGAGGACAUGAGAUUUGGGAGGGACCAGGGGCAAAAUGAUAUGGUUUGGCUGUGUCCCCACCAAAUCUCAUCUUGAAUUGCAGCUCCCAUGAUCCCCACAUGUGGGAGGGACCCGGGGGGAGGUAACUGAAUCAUGGGGGUGGGAUUUUCCCAUGCUGUUCUCAUGAUAGUGAAUAAAUCUCAUGAGAUCUUAUGGUUUUAUAAAGGGCAGUUUCCCUGCACGGGCUCUCUCUUGCCCGCCACCACGUAAGACAUGUGUUUGCUCCUCCUUCACCUUCUGCCAUGAUUGUGAGGUCUCUCUAGCCGUGUGAAACUGUGAGUCCAUUAAACUUCUUUUUCUUUAUAAAUUA